GCCGGCUUAGCUCAGUUGGUAGAGCACCUGAUUUGUAAUCAGGGGGCCAAGGGUUCGAAUCCUUUAGCCGGCACCA
RNAcentral lists this transfer RNA (76 nucleotides) under Altericroceibacterium indicum. Its description in RNAcentral is "Altererythrobacter indicus tRNA-Thr". It matches the Rfam family "tRNA". Rfam says of the family: Transfer RNA (tRNA) molecules are approximately 80 nucleotides in length. Their secondary structure includes four short double-helical elements and three loops (D, anti-codon, and T loops). Further hydrogen bonds mediate the characteristic L-shaped molecular structure. tRNAs have two regions of fundamental functional importance: the anti-codon, which is responsible for specific mRNA codon recognition, and the 3' end, to which the tRNAs corresponding amino acid is attached (by aminoacyl-tRNA synthetases). tRNAs cope with the degeneracy of the genetic code in two manners: having more than one tRNA (with a specific anti-codon) for a particular amino acid; and 'wobble' base-pairing, i.e. permitting non-standard base-pairing at the 3rd anti-codon position. The record is from RNAcentral. Lineage: Bacteria; Pseudomonadati; Pseudomonadota; Alphaproteobacteria; Sphingomonadales; Erythrobacteraceae.